GAACUCUUGUUAACAACUGUGCCUGAGCAGUGGGAAGCCAGAGGACAAUGAUGGGGGCCUUAGUGGUCCUGGUGUGCAAACUGGUCACCUGAUUUGGGUGUUGGGACAAAAGACCAACUGAACCAUGUAACAGCU
RNAcentral lists this non-coding RNA (135 nucleotides) under Ovis aries (sheep). Lineage: Eukaryota; Metazoa; Chordata; Mammalia; Artiodactyla; Bovidae. The record is from Rfam by way of RNAcentral.